GCUGUUUUCUGACAAUCAGAAAUCUGUCAAAUCUUCUCCAAAGUCCAGGAAAUGGCAUUUCAGAGACUCUAAAUUUAAAAAUUUCCUCGGGCCUUCGGCCCUCGCUUUCAGCCCCCCCCCCCCCCCCCCCCCCCCCCCCCAAGUUUUGCACUUCCUCAGAAAGCCCUCUCCCAGGGAAAUUUAAGCGCUCAUUGGAUUAAAUGACAGUAGUAUAUGAUUGAAAUAAGGAUUUUGAAAAAAAGUAAUACUAUAAAACAGGGAUGGCGCAAUCCCAUUGCUCAUUAAUACGGAAAAUGAGCAAUUUCUAUAUUGCUAUAUAUAGACAAUAGCAACCCCCCAUUACUAACGGACCAAAUUAUGUACGUGGAACAUGUCACUAUUUCUCCAAACUUUGCAAAAAUGGCAUACAUAUAAAACUUAACAAAUUAGUUUGUACCAAACUACGUUAGAAAUGUUAUCGGUUGUCUUGAGGCUUUAUUUUGAACAGAGCAGAACUCCAUUCCAGUUUUAUUUCCAAGAGGCAAGAUCAGUGAGAUUACCACUCGGUCUGGGGUAUUGCAAGGUCUCCGGCCCGGCGAGGAUAUAGAUUGCAUUAUCAUUGUGAUUGACAGAAAAGUGUAUGUAUAUUUUUUAAAACCACGUAUAACUUGUGCAUGUGCACAAUCAUGCAAUUAUACUGAUUAUUAUUAUCAUGCAAGUAUAAUGAUUCCCAUGCAACCGUAUUUAUUUUAGAACAGAAAAUGUAUAUUCAAUUUCAACAAUUAUUUCUUUUUACGGAGCUCGUCAAUAUGUUCAAUUGUUGGUAAACCACGAGGUAGAUUCAGUAAGCUUCCUUCUUUUAUCAUAAUAUUUUCUGCUUCAGCUGUAAGAACAAGAGUAUAACAUCGGGACAUUAAUAUAUAGUGUUGGGCUGCAAAAUUGAAAUAUUAGUUUUGAUAACUUCACCCUACAGCAGAUGAAAUUACGAGCUUCAGGUAUCUCCUUAAAGUUCCUUGCAAUAGAAAGACAAAAUAUUAUAUUAAGAGAUUUUUUUCUUCAUGAAAUUGAGUUGUUUACUAUUUUUAGGUUGGUUCUACCAUAUAAUGUCCAAAUUAUGUUUCGGGACCAUGCCAUAAAGUGUACUAUAUACGUCGAGCCUAAACGUAUAUUUGCCAGCAGGCUUCUGAGCUCAUUGCACGUCGUACCCAGCAGUGCUUUAAAUUCCAUUAAAUUAACACGGCCAGAAUGGUCAAACAUAAAACCAUUUUCACCAGAUGCUCG
Non-coding RNA from Paramuricea clavata, 1260 nucleotides. The record is from the annotation of a GenBank genome assembly. Lineage: Eukaryota; Metazoa; Cnidaria; Anthozoa; Malacalcyonacea; Plexauridae.